Corapipo altera (White-ruffed manakin) is the source of this 718-nucleotide long non-coding RNA. RefSeq lists it as uncharacterized. NCBI's taxonomy places the organism in Eukaryota, Metazoa, Chordata, Aves, Passeriformes, Pipridae. The transcript has 3 exons. The record is from RefSeq and is a predicted model, not a curated record.
CCCCGUCCCCUGCUGCAGCUCCCGCGGGGAAGGGGCAGCAGCCUGCGGGCCGCAGCCCUCAGCCAGAUGGUGCUCUGCAGGAAAAUCCGUACUCCCCAUCAGCGGCUGCCUUGCCAAAGAAAUAAACUGCUGCUCAGGCGGUAGAAGUCUCUCUGUGCCGCCCUCCUGAGGCAAGGGAGAACCUUUCCAACCUCAGAGUGUAAGUGGAAGAAGCGCGAAACCAUCUUAAGUUGAUAAGUGCUGAAAAUACUCAGGGAAAAAGGCUUGAAGGCAGGUACCAAGCGAGGAUGGAAGAGGCAAGAUGGAUACCACUGUCGUGAUCCUGAGGAGCUCCUCUGGGGUUUGGUGAAGUGGCCGAGAGGGAGCAGGUUGCCAGCCACGAGCUGACACUGGGCAGACAGCACAGCUUGGUCCUUCCUGGCAGGGUCACAUCGAGCAGGGAAGAGGCUUUGGAAACCCAACAGGCAGCCUGGUUCCUACUGUCAGUGAAAAUACUGCAAAAAGCUCCUACUUCCUCAUGUGAUGAACAGACCUCUCCUGGGUGCCAUAUAAUGCAAAGAUAAGGUUUAGCUGAGAUCUCCAGGAAUGAAUCUUUUAAAGGCAUUAUAUAACAACUUGGAAGCUGAAUUUGCCAUGGUAACUGUUGCAGCUUUUCUAUGUACUUCAGUAAGAAGAAAGAACCAGUCCCAUAAAUAAAUAAAUUAACUAUUUUUGUUUU